GACGUGCUAAUCUGCGAUAAGCGUCGGUAAGGUGAUAUGAACCGUUAUAACCGGCGAUUUCCGAAUGGGGAAACCCAGUGUGAUUCGUCACACUAUCAUUAACUGAAUCCAUAGGUUAAUGAGGCGAACCGGGGGAACUGAAACAUCUAAGUACCCCGAGGAAAAGAAAUCAACCGAGAUUCCCCCAGUAGCGGCGAGCGAACGGGGAGCAGCCCAGAGCCUGAAUCAGUGUGUGUGUUAGUGGAAGCGUCUGGAAAGGCGUGCGAUACAGGGUGACAGCCCCGUACACAAAAAUGCACAUACUGUGAGCUCGAUGAGUAGGGCGGGACACGUGGUAUCCUGUCUGAAUAUGGGGGGACCAUCCUCCAAGGCUAAAUACUCCUGACUGACCGAUAGUGAACCAGUACCGUGAGGGAAAGGCGAAAAGAACCCCGGCGAGGGGAGUGAAAAAGAACCUGAAACCGUGUACGUACAAGCAGUGGGAGCACGCUUAGGCGUGUGACUGCGUACCUUUUGUAUAAUGGGUCAGCGACUUAUAUUCUGUAGCAAGGUUAACCGAAUAGGGGAGCCGAAGGGAAACCGAGUCUUAACUGGGCGUUAAGUUGCAGGGUAUAGACCCGAAACCCGGUGAUCUAGCCAUGGGCAGGUUGAAGGUUGGGUAACACUAACUGGAGGACCGAACCGACUAAUGUUGAAAAAUUAGCGGAUGACUUGUGGCUGGGGGUGAAAGGCCAAUCAAACCGGGAGAUAGCUGGUUCUCCCCGAAAGCUAUUUAGGUAGCGCCUCGUGAAUUCAUCUCCGGGGGUAGAGCACUGUUUCGGCAAGGGGGUCAUCCCGACUUACCAACCCGAUGCAAACUGCGAAUACCGGAGAAUGUUAUUACGGGAGACACACGGCGGGUGCUAACGUCCGUCGUGAAGAGGGAAACAACCCAGACCGCCAGCUAAGGUCCCAAAGUCAUGGUUAAGUGGGAAACGAUGUGGGAAGGCCCAGACAGCCAGGAUGUUGGCUUAGAAGCAGCCAUCAUUUAAAGAAAGCGUAAUAGCUCACUGGUCGAGUCGGCCUGCGCGGAAGAUGUAACGGGGCUAAACCAUGCACCGAAGCUGCGGCAGCGACGCUUAUGCGUUGUUGGGUAGGGGAGCGUUCUGUAAGCCUGUGAAGGUGUGCUGUGAGGUAUGCUGGAGGUAUCAGAAGUGCGAAUGCUGACAUAAGUAACGAUAAAGCGGGUGAAAAGCCCGCUCGCCGGAAGACCAAGGGUUCCUGUCCAACGUUAAUCGGGGCAGGGUGAGUCGACCCCUAAGGCGAGGCCGAAAGGCGUAGUCGAUGGGAAACAGGUUAAUAUUCCUGUACUUGGUGUUACUGCGAAGGGGGGACGGAGAAGGCUAUGUUGGCCGGGCGACGGUUGUCCCGGUUUAAGCGUGUAGGCUGGUUUUCCAGGCAAAUCCGGAAAAUCAAGGCCGAGGCGUGAUGACGAGGCACUACGGUGCUGAAGCAACAAAUGCCCUGCUUCCAGGAAAAGCCUCUAAGCAUCAGGUAACAUCAAAUCGUACCCCAAACCGACACAGGUGGUCAGGUAGAGAAUACCAAGGCGCUUGAGAGAACUCGGGUGAAGGAACUAGGCAAAAUGGUGCCGUAACUUCGGGAGAAGGCACGCUGAUACGUAGGUGAAGCGACUUGCUCGUGGAGCUGAAAUCAGUCGAAGAUACCAGCUGGCUGCAACUGUUUAUUAAAAACACAGCACUGUGCAAACACGAAAGUGGACGUAUACGGUGUGACGCCUGCCCGGUGCCGGAAGGUUAAUUGAUGGGGUUAGCGCAAGCGAAGCUCUUGAUCGAAGCCCCGGUAAACGGCGGCCGUAACUAUAACGGUCCUAAGGUAGCGAAAUUCCUUGUCGGGUAAGUUCCGACCUGCACGAAUGGCGUAAUGAUGGCCAGGCUGUCUCCACCCGAGACUCAGUGAAAUUGAACUCGCUGUGAAGAUGCAGUGUACCCGCGGCAAGACGGAAAGACCCCGUGAACCUUUACUAUAGCUUGACACUGAACAUUGAGCCUUGAUGUGUAGGAUAGGUGGGAGGCUUUGAAGUGUGGACGCCAGUCUGCAUGGAGCCGACCUUGAAAUACCACCCUUUAAUGUUUGAUGUUCUAACGUGGACCCGUGAUCCGGGUUGCGGACAGUGUCUGGUGGGUAGUUUGACUGGGGCGGUCUCCUCCUAAAGAGUAACGGAGGAGCACGAAGGUUGGCUAAUCCUGGUCGGACAUCAGGAGGUUAGUGCAAUGGCAUAAGCCAGCUUGACUGCGAGCGUGACGGCGCGAGCAGGUGCGAAAGCAGGUCAUAGUGAUCCGGUGGUUCUGAAUGGAAGGGCCAUCGCUCAACGGAUAAAAGGUACUCCGGGGAUAACAGGCUGAUACCGCCCAAGAGUUCAUAUCGACGGCGGUGUUUGGCACCUCGAUGUCGGCUCAUCACAUCCUGGGGCUGAAGUAGGUCCCAAGGGUAUGGCUGUUCGCCAUUUAAAGUGGUACGCGAGCUGGGUUUAGAACGUCGUGAGACAGUUCGGUCCCUAUCUGCCGUGGGCGCUGGAGAACUGAGGGGGGCUGCUCCUAGUACGAGAGGACCGGAGUGGACGC
Molecule: ribosomal RNA, 2624 nt
Filed under: Escherichia coli
Lineage: Bacteria; Pseudomonadati; Pseudomonadota; Gammaproteobacteria; Enterobacterales; Enterobacteriaceae
Also listed under: 1 other name
Description: partial 23S ribosomal RNA
Rfam family: Bacterial large subunit ribosomal RNA
Source: RNAcentral